UGCGCCAGGGGAAGUUUUUAAAGGAAAAAUUGUCCGAUCGUGUCGGAUGUCAGGAACAAAAUUAAAUAGACUAGUAAUUAAAAUUUUCAUAAUAUUUAUAAAAUCUCACCUUGAUUCAUAGACAUGAUCAAGGUAGAAAAGGUUCCUUAAUCGAUUUGCUUUGCGAGAUCCAGAUGCACAGAUCCUUUACUUCGCAUGCAUGCUAAGCAACGUAGGAGAGAGAGAUGAAGAACUCUUCAGAAGGAAAGAAAGAGAGCCUUGAGAUUUGAUCUUAAGACCUUAGAAGGAGCCCACAUGUCACACCAAGAGGGAUAGGGAGGAUGCCCAAG
Molecule: long non-coding RNA, 329 nt
Filed under: Elaeis guineensis (African oil palm)
Lineage: Eukaryota; Viridiplantae; Streptophyta; Magnoliopsida; Arecales; Arecaceae
Description: long non-coding RNA (EGUI_LNC051105)
Source: RNAcentral